Long non-coding RNA from Peromyscus eremicus (cactus mouse), 1469 nucleotides. RefSeq lists it as uncharacterized. The record is from RefSeq and is a predicted model, not a curated record. The transcript has 3 exons. Lineage: Eukaryota; Metazoa; Chordata; Mammalia; Rodentia; Cricetidae.
UGAUUUAUAUAUGCUGAAUCAUUCUUGUAUCUCUGGAAUGAAGACUAUUUCAUCAUCAUGGAUGAUCUUUUUGAUGUGUUCUUGGAUUCAGUUGCAAGUAUUUUAUUGAGAAUUUUAGCGUCUCUGUUCAUAAGGGAAAUUGGUCUAUAAUUCUCUUUGUUGGGUCUUUUUGUGGAUUGGGCAUUAGGGUAACUGUGGCCUUAUAAAACAAACUGGGCAAUGUUCCUUCUCUUUCUAUUUUGUGGAAUAAUUUAAGGAGUAUUGGCCCUAACUUGUCUUUGAAAGUCUCGUAGAAUUCUGUACAAAAUCAUCUGGUACUGGGCUUUGUUUGGUUGGAAGACUUAAUGGCUGCUUCUAUUUCACUAGGGAUUGUAGGUCUGUUUAAAUUGCUUAUCUGAUCUUGAUUUAACUUUGGUAAAUGAUAUGUAUUGAGAAGAUGAUGUAUUUCUUUCAGAUUUUCCAAUUUGGUAGAGUAUAGGUUUUUAAGUAUGUCCUUAUGAUUCUCCGGAUUUCUCUGUUUGUUGCUAUGUUCUCUCUUUCAUCUCUAGUUUUGUGUAUUUGGAUCUUCUCUCUCUGCCUUGUAGUUAAUUUGGCUAAGGGUUUGCCAAUCUUAUUAAUUUUCUAAAAGAUUUUCUAAACUAACUCUGUAUCACUGAUUCUUGUAUUGUUUUUUGUUUGUUUCUAGUUUAUUGAUUUCUGCCCUGAAUUGGAUUAUUUCUUGCCAUAUACUCCUUUUGAGUGUUAUUUCUUCUUUUUGUUCUAGAGCUGAUCAUCUCAUUAAUGCAGAAAAUCCCUGUGAAAAAAAAUUCAACAUCCCAUCAUGAUAAAAUUUCUGUAGAGAUUAGGGAUACAAGGGACAUACUUAAAGAAAAUAAAGGUGGCAAUUUACAACAAGCCCAUGGCCAACAUUGACAGUAUUGGCAGUGAGGAGUGGACUGAGACAUUGAUGGAACAUGGCCAUGCACACGUGUGAGCUUGGCACUCAAAUCGUGGACACUUAGGACUCUGAAAAUGGACUUGUGGCUCUAGAGCCUUCAUCCAGUAACUGAUGGAAGCAGAUGCAGAGAUCCACAACCAAGUAUCAGACUGAACUCUGGGAGUCCAGUCGAAGAGAAGGAAGAGGGAUUAUAUGAGCAAGGGGAUCAAGAUCAUAAUGAGAAAAUCUACAGAGACAACUGAACCAAGCUCAAAGGAACUCAUGAGCUUUAGACUGACAGCUGUGGAACCUGCAUGGGACCGGAUUAGACCCUCUGCGUAUGGGAGACAAGUCGUGUAGCUGGGUCUGUUUGAGGGGCCUCUGGCAUUGUGAUCAGGAUCUAUCCCUGCUGCAUGAGCUGGCUUUGUGGAUCCCGUUACCUAUGGUUGAACACCUUGCUCACCCUUGAGGCAGGGGGGAGGGGCUGGGUCCGUCCUCACCUGAAUGUAUCAGGCUUUGCUCUCCCCCCAUGGGAGAACUUACCCUUUCGGAG